RNAcentral lists this ribosomal RNA (1484 nucleotides) under Lacticaseibacillus casei. Its description in RNAcentral is "bacterial SSU rRNA". It matches the Rfam family "Bacterial small subunit ribosomal RNA". The record is from RNAcentral. Lineage: Bacteria; Bacillati; Bacillota; Bacilli; Lactobacillales; Lactobacillaceae.
GAACGCUGGCGGCGUGCCUAAUACAUGCAAGUCGAACGAGUUCUCGUUGAUGAUCGGUGCUUGCACCGAGAUUCAACAUGGAACGAGUGGCGGACGGGUGAGUAACACGUGGGUAACCUGCCCUUAAGUGGGGGAUAACAUUUGGAAACAGAUGCUAAUACCGCAUAGAUCCAAGAACCGCAUGGUUCUUGGCUGAAAGAUGGCGUAAGCUAUCGCUUUUGGAUGGACCCGCGGCGUAUUAGCUAGUUGGUGAGGUAAUGGCUCACCAAGGCGAUGAUACGUAGCCGAACUGAGAGGUUGAUCGGCCACAUUGGGACUGAGACACGGCCCAAACUCCUACGGGAGGCAGCAGUAGGGAAUCUUCCACAAUGGACGCAAGUCUGAUGGAGCAACGCCGCGUGAGUGAAGAAGGCUUUCGGGUCGUAAAACUCUGUUGUUGGAGAAGAAUGGUCGGCAGAGUAACUGUUGUCGGCGUGACGGUAUCCAACCAGAAAGCCACGGCUAACUACGUGCCAGCAGCCGCGGUAAUACGUAGGUGGCAAGCGUUAUCCGGAUUUAUUGGGCGUAAAGCGAGCGCAGGCGGUUUUUUAAGUCUGAUGUGAAAGCCCUCGGCUUAACCGAGGAAGCGCAUCGGAAACUGGGAAACUUGAGUGCAGAAGAGGACAGUGGAACUCCAUGUGUAGCGGUGAAAUGCGUAGAUAUAUGGAAGAACACCAGUGGCGAAGGCGGCUGUCUGGUCUGUAACUGACGCUGAGGCUCGAAAGCAUGGGUAGCGAACAGGAUUAGAUACCCUGGUAGUCCAUGCCGUAAACGAUGAAUGCUAGGUGUUGGAGGGUUUCCGCCCUUCAGUGCCGCAGCUAACGCAUUAAGCAUUCCGCCUGGGGAGUACGACCGCAAGGUUGAAACUCAAAGGAAUUGACGGGGGCCCGCACAAGCGGUGGAGCGCGUGGUUUAAUUCGAAGCAACGCGAAGAACCUUACCAGGUCUUGACAUCUUUUGAUCACCUGAGAGAUCAGGUUUCCCCUUCGGGGGCAAAAUGACAGGUGGUGCAUGGUUGUCGUCAGCUCGUGUCGUGAGAUGUUGGGUUAAGUCCCGCAACGAGCGCAACCCUUAUGACUAGUUGCCAGCAUUUAGUUGGGCACUCUAGUAAGACUGCCGGUGACAAACCGGAGGAAGGUGGGGAUGACGUCAAAUCAUCAUGCCCCUUAUGACCUGGGCUACACACGUGCUACAAUGGAUGGUACAACGAGUUGCGAGACCGCGAGGUCAAGCUAAUCUCUUAAAGCCAUUCUCAGUUCGGACUGUAGGCUGCAACUCGCCUACACGAAGUCGGAAUCGCUAGUAAUCGCGGAUCAGCACGCCGCGGUGAAUACGUUCCCGGGCCUUGUACACACCGCCCGUCACACCAUGAGAGUUUGUAACACCCGAAGCCGGUGGCGUAACCCUUUUAGGGAGCGAGCCGUCUAAGGUGGGACAAAUGAUUA